RNAcentral lists this transfer RNA (69 nucleotides) under Holothuria spinifera. Its description in RNAcentral is "tRNA-Pro". The record is from RNAcentral. Lineage: Eukaryota; Metazoa; Echinodermata; Holothuroidea; Aspidochirotida; Holothuriidae. RNAcentral also lists the same sequence under 1 other name.
CAGAUGCUAGUUUAAAUCAAAAUAGUUGUUUUGGGGACAACAGACGCAAAGUUAGCCUUGCGCACCUGA